UACGGGGGGGGCUAGCGUUGUUCGGAAUUACUGGGCGUAAAGGGCGCGUAGGCGGCCUACUAAGUCGGACGUGAAAUCCCUCGGCUCAACCGGGGAACUGCGUCCGAUACUGGUGGGCUCGAAUCCGGGAGAGGGAUGUGGAAUUCCAGGUGUAGCGGUGAAAUGCGUAGAUAUCUGGAGGAACACCGGUGGCGAAGGCGGCAUCCUGGACCGGUAUUGACGCUGAGGAGCGAAAGCUAGGGGAGCAAACGGG
This 253-nucleotide ribosomal RNA is filed under the name uncultured bacterium. RNAcentral describes it as "partial 16S ribosomal RNA". It matches the Rfam family "Bacterial small subunit ribosomal RNA", at positions 524 to 776 of the family's 1533-position model. The record is from RNAcentral.